UCGACUCUUCCUGGCCUUCAGGUCUAUGUCUUUACAUCUACUCCAUAGAAUGUAAANGAAAGAAACAAUGGCAGCUUUAUUGCAGCCUAUAAAACUUGUACAACUUUCAGCAACGGAUCUCUUGGCUCUCGCAUCGAUGAAGAACGCAGCGAAAUGCGAUAAGUAAUGUGAAUUGCAGAAUUCAGUGAAUCAUCGAAUCUUUGAACGCACCUUGCGCUCCUUGGUAUUCCGAGGAGCAUGCCUGUUUGAGUGUCAUUAAAUUCUCAACCAUCUUUGUCUUUUUGAUAACGGAUGCGUUGGAUGUGGGGACUUGCCAUUUCUUUAAAAGANUUGGCUUCCCUUAAAUGCAUUAGCUAGAGCACUUCUACUAGCUGCUAGUGUGAUAAUUAUCUACACUGCGGCCAACGAAGAAAACUCUGCUUCUAACCGUCUGCUNGCAGACAAUAUCUGACAUCUUGACCUCAAAUCAGGUAGGACUACCCGCUGAACUUAAGCAUAU
This 499-nucleotide ribosomal RNA is filed under the name Bolbitius coprophilus. Its description in RNAcentral is "eukaryotic LSU rRNA". The stretch from base 102 to 255 matches the Rfam family "5.8S ribosomal RNA". Lineage: Eukaryota; Fungi; Basidiomycota; Agaricomycetes; Agaricales; Bolbitiaceae. The record is from RNAcentral.